AAUGGCCAGAAGAAAUACACACACACAUUAAUGCAUUGCCUAAGCUAAUUAACAGAUUAAAAAUCAAAUCAGCGUUUUCUUGGAAGGUAAAUAAAGAUGUUCACCUGUAUGGGAACUGCUGAGUCACGGCCUGAACCUCUGAUUGAUCACCCGAGGGAGCACUGAGUCAGCCACAGGAGCACAGGUGAAGGCAAUUCGCCUGUGCUGCUGGAAGGGCUGGAGCCUGGCUCCACCUCUCCUAGACCCAUUUAAGAGCUGGCUACCACGAGGGAAGCAUCUCUUUCUGGGGAUCCCUCCUUUGGAGUUUUACAGCAAGCUCAGAGGAGGCCAAAGACCACCUGAAUUUGGCAGAUGCAGGAGACCACAAAUGCCAACGCUGCCAUCGUGUGCCCGAUUUUAGCACCACAGCUGUGUUUUGGAAACUAAAAUUCACCCUUUCAAGGACACACUAUACCAGAAAUUCACGAAGAUACUAAGUUCAAAUCUACAUUAUUAAAAAUUGCUAUGGGUGAAUAUGUAUACAAAGAAAUGAAACAGACUGGCAAAUUCUGUGCACCUUACUAGCUCUGGUUUAAUUUAGGAAAUUAAACCAUCUGAUAAUUCAAUGGCGGAAAAAAAAAACAAAACCUCAAAAUAUUCCUGAAAAUAACUUGCUUGAGAAGCAGUAUUCCAUGUACAUAACACGGAAAAAGGAAAGAACACAUGGUUCUGAGAUGCUGAUGAGAUCUGUCUGGGUUGCAGCUCAGAGCAGCCUCCUUGCACAGGGGUAAAAUCCUGCAUCUGUGAGAGGUUCCUGCUGAUUUUGCUCCUGCUAAGGUUUUGUUUUCCUCAGUGAGUUGAACAUAGCCAUCCCCAAAAAGCUCUCAGAAGAACUCAGGGUGAUGCACACCAGCAAGUACUUGAUGCCCCAGCAGGAAACAAAAUUCUGCUUCUUAGUUCCUCCUGUCCUAUCUGCAAUUUGUUGGUGACAAAUGUGUUCUGGAUAACAAAGAGGAAGUUUGCGUUUCACUCUGUGGCUGAGUUUAUUAUCUGGAAAGACUUUUAUACAGAAUCUUCACAGCAUCUGUACUAUAGACAGUAUCACAUCACAGGAUUGCUGUUAUGUAUGUUGCCUAAUUGUUAUUUUUUAAAGUUGGAAGUAAUUUACCACUAAGCAGGCUCUGUGAGUAAAAAAUAGCAAUAAAAAGAAUGAGAAGGAACCAGAAUACAUUAUCAAUGUAUUUUAGAAAAUCUAUUUCCUUCCCGAGAAUUCUUCACCCUUUUUAGAAAGCAAGCCUAUUCCCACUGUAGACAGUGGCAAUCUUUUUUGAUACUGAUUCUGUGACAGCUAGAUCAGCUCCCUCUGAAUGCUUUAGGAAAUAAUGCAAAAAGAACUUAGGUCUCAGGAUGAACAGGAGACUGGGGCACCUUGAAUAAGGAAAUCCUUCCUGGAGUGCCUAAACCUGAAACUCAGAGAUGUUACCUCUUAUUUUCUUCACUGAAAAAUACAUCAGAAUUUAGCAAAGAGAAUGUAACUUGUACAUGCCAAAUUAGACAGAGUGAAUGUUUCUGGUGAUACAUACACUGUAUUCACAAGAAGCAAGUCCAGCCUUCAAAGAAAAAACUUGGCUUCCUAGACCUGGUUUUGGCUCAUACACAUCUCAGAUAC
This is a long non-coding RNA of Lagopus muta (rock ptarmigan), 1648 nucleotides long. RefSeq lists it as uncharacterized. NCBI's taxonomy places the organism in Eukaryota, Metazoa, Chordata, Aves, Galliformes, Phasianidae. The record is from RefSeq and is a predicted model, not a curated record. The transcript is spliced from 3 exons.